AUUCAACGCUGGCGGCAGGCCUAACACAUGCAAGUCGAGCGGAUGAAGGGAGCUUGCUCCUGGAUUCAGCGGCGGACGGGUGAGUAAUGCCUAGGAAUCUGCCUGGUAGUGGGGGAUAACGUCCGGAAACGGGCGCUAAUACCGCAUACGUCCUGAGGGAGAAAGUGGGGGAUCUUCGGACCUCACGCUAUCAGAUGAGCCUAGGUCGGAUUAGCUAGCUGGUGGGGUAAAGGCCUACCAAGGCGACGAUCCGUAACUGGUCUGAGAGGAUGAUCAGUCACACUGGAACUGAGACACGGUCCAGACUCCUACGGGAGGCAGCAGUGGGGAAUAUUGGACAAUGGCCGAAAGCCUGAUCCAGCCAUGCCGCGUGUGUGAAGAAGGUCUUCGGAUUGUAAAGCACUUUAAGUUGGGAGGAAGGGCAGUAAGUUAAUACCUUGCUGUUUUGACGUUACCAACAGAAUAAGCACCGGCUAACUUCGUG
This 484-nucleotide ribosomal RNA is filed under the name uncultured bacterium. RNAcentral's name for it is "partial 16S ribosomal RNA". It matches the Rfam family "Bacterial small subunit ribosomal RNA", at positions 32 to 507 of the family's 1533-position model. The record is from RNAcentral.